UGGGGAAUAUUGCACAAUGGGCGCAAGCCUGAUGCAGCCAUGCCGCGUGUAUGAAGAAGGCCUUCGGGUUGUAAAGUACUUUCAGCGGGGAGGAAGGUGUUGAGGCUAAUAACCUCAGCAAUUGACGUUACCCGCAGAAGAAGCACCGGCUAACUCCGUGCCAGCAGCCGCGGUAAUCCGGAGGGUGCAAGCGUUAAUCGGAAUUACUGGGCGUAAAGCGCACGCAGGCGGUCUGUCAAGUCGGAUGUGAAAUCCCCGGGCUCAACCUGGGAACUGCAUUCGAAACUGGCAGGCUAGAGUCUUGUAGAGGGGGGUAGAAUUCCAGGUGUAGCGGUGAAAUGCGUAGAGAUCUGGAGGAAUACCGGUGGCGAAGGCGGCCCCCUGGACAAAGACUGACGCUCAGGUGCGAAAGCGUGGGGAGCAAACA
RNAcentral lists this ribosomal RNA (427 nucleotides) under uncultured bacterium. RNAcentral's name for it is "partial 16S ribosomal RNA". It matches the Rfam family "Bacterial small subunit ribosomal RNA", at positions 355 to 774 of the family's 1533-position model. The record is from RNAcentral.